Molecule: long non-coding RNA, 332 nt
Organism: Capsicum annuum
Lineage: Eukaryota; Viridiplantae; Streptophyta; Magnoliopsida; Solanales; Solanaceae
Exons: 3
Source: RefSeq, a predicted model, not a curated record
CAUAAGGUCAUCCUUUAUUAUGGAUAUACAUCUGUAUAUAUGAAAGAGGGGAAAACUAUGGAAAAGCUAUUAUGAUGUUUUAUUUAAUCUCCAAUUUAAAAUAAAUUGUCAACAUCUAGUUGUCCAAGCUCGGGUUCUAGUAGAAAACUAUUUAAAGGCUUCUCGGAGAGGCUUUUAGCUUUGAUGUCCAGAUUUAGGUACUAGCAGCCGGCGUUGAUGUAAUUCCUAUUUUUCAGGAUUGAUCUAGAAUAGGGUGAGCUCGUUGUCGCCCAAGGAUGAUCCUCCAAUAUCUGUUCCAGGGUAUCUUAAGAUAUUUUCAGUAUAAACAAGGA